This 60-nucleotide transfer RNA is filed under the name Vaejovis smithi. RNAcentral describes it as "tRNA-Tyr". Lineage: Eukaryota; Metazoa; Arthropoda; Arachnida; Scorpiones; Vaejovidae. The record is from RNAcentral.
GGUUAUAUGUCUGAUUAAAGUAUUGAAUUGUAAACUCAAAAAUGGAUUUUCCUUUAACCA